UUGAAGUGUGGCAGGUGCAAGUCUACUAUUUCCAUCUAUCUUCACCAAAUGGUGUUUUGAUAGUCUCACAACAAAGCUAAUCUCCAGCAACUCGUCCAAGGUGGAAUAAAACACGGUCUGCAGGUUAAUUUGAAGAAAGAGUUCGACGAUCAACCCAAAUUGAAUCGGCACGAACACUGUCAGCGAGUGAGUUAAAUACUUCGGAUCAGGACUCUCCAGCAAUGCAGGACUGCGCCAUAAAUUCACUUCACGUUCAGCCCAGCCUCGCCGUCCCCUAUGAUUCCGAAUGCCUGCCGCUACCAAACAUAAUGAAAGCAUUGCGUCCCUUGUAGAGAAAUUGUUAGAAAGACGUCCUCGAUGGUAUGGAUGUUAAACGCACUGAUCAUAACUCUCAAGAUAAGGCCCAGUGUAAAUAAUACUGUAAAAGCUAUUAGGUUGCUCCAGCAUGUCCAAUCUGAUAAAAAAUCCAGAACAAUGAACAAAUGUUGACAUCA
Molecule: long non-coding RNA, 494 nt
Organism: Hermetia illucens (black soldier fly)
Lineage: Eukaryota; Metazoa; Arthropoda; Insecta; Diptera; Stratiomyidae
Exons: 2
Source: RefSeq, a predicted model, not a curated record